UGCCCGGUGGUGAAGUGGUAUCACACCGCCCUUUGGAGGCGAGAUCCGAGGUUCGAAUCCUCGCCGGGCAGCCG
RNAcentral lists this transfer RNA (74 nucleotides) under Candidatus Omnitrophota bacterium. Its description in RNAcentral is "Candidatus Omnitrophica bacterium tRNA-Gln". It matches the Rfam family "tRNA". Rfam says of the family: Transfer RNA (tRNA) molecules are approximately 80 nucleotides in length. Their secondary structure includes four short double-helical elements and three loops (D, anti-codon, and T loops). Lineage: Bacteria; Pseudomonadati; Candidatus Omnitrophota. The record is from RNAcentral.